GCUCAACCGAGGAAGUGCUUCGAAAACUGGUAAACUUGAGUGCAGAAGAGGAAAGUGGAACUCCAUGUGUAGCGGUGGAAUGCGUAGAUAUAUGGAAGAACACCAGUGGCGAAGGCGGCUUUCUGGUCUGUAACUGACGCUGAGAUUCGAAAGCAUGGGUAGCAAACAGGAUUAGAUACCCUGGUAGUCCAUGCCGUAAACGAUGAGUGCUAAGUGUUGGAGGGUUUCCGCCCUUCAGUGCUGCAGCUAACGCAUUAAGCACUCCGCCUGGGGAGUACGACCGCAAGGUUGAAACUCAAAGGAAUUGACGGGGGCCCGCACAAGCGGUGGAGCAUGUGGUUUAAUUCGAAGCAACGCGAAGAACCUUACCAGGUCUUGACAUACCAUGAAAAGCUUAGAGAUAAGUCUUUCCCUUCGGGGACAUGGAUACAGGUGGUGCAUGGUUGUCGUCAGCUCGUGUCGUGAGAUGUUGGGUUAAGUCCCGCAACGAGCGCAACCCUUAUUAUCAGUUGCCAGCAUUCAGUUGGGCACUCUGGUGAGACUGCCGGUGACAAACCGGAGGAAGGUGGGGAUGACGUCAAAUCAUCAUGCCCCUUAUGACCUGGGCUACACACGUGCUACAAUGGUCAGUACAACG
This 637-nucleotide ribosomal RNA is filed under the name uncultured bacterium. RNAcentral describes it as "bacterial SSU rRNA". It matches the Rfam family "Bacterial small subunit ribosomal RNA", at positions 607 to 1244 of the family's 1533-position model. The record is from RNAcentral.